RNAcentral lists this ribosomal RNA (468 nucleotides) under uncultured bacterium. RNAcentral describes it as "partial 16S ribosomal RNA". It matches the Rfam family "Bacterial small subunit ribosomal RNA", at positions 28 to 507 of the family's 1533-position model. The record is from RNAcentral.
GACGAACGCUGGCGGCGUGCUUAACACAUGCAAGUCGAACGGAAAGGCCCUGCUUUUGUGGGGUGCUCGAGUGGCGAACGGGUGAGUAACACGUGAGUAACCUGCCCUUGACUUUGGGAUAACUUCAGGAAACUGGGGCUAAUACCGGAUAGGAGCUCCUGCUGCAUGGUGGGGGUUGGAAAGUUUCGGCGGUUGGGGAUGGACUCGCGGCUUAUCAGCUUGUUGGUGGGGUAGUGGCUUACCAAGGCUUUGACGGGUAGCCGGCCUGAGAGGGUGACCGGCCACAUUGGGACUGAGAUACGGCCCAGACUCCUACGGGAGGCAGCAGUGGGGAAUAUUGCACAAUGGGCAGAAGCCUGAUGCAGCAACGCCGCGUGCGGGAUGACGGCCUUCGUGUUGUAAACCUCUUUCGCCUGUGACGAAGCGUGAGUGACGGUAAUUGGUAAAGAAGCACCGGCUAACUACGUG